CAGCAAGCCCACGUCUGGAGAAACAACAAAUCACUUUUAAUUUUUAAGCAUGGAGCCAGUUAAAUUGCCACAUCUGUAUUUGGUGGAUGCUUUGUCCAGUCCUACUGUGGGCCAUAGUGACAUAGCCAGGACCAUGGAGAGAGAGACCAUUGCUGAGGAGGUGGGGAGGGCAAGUUCCUGGUCAAUCAGAUGAUCUUACAUGACAAAGCUGCUCGUAAAGAUGCAGAGUCUGAUGACAAACUCAGGAUGAUGAACCUGAGGAUUUGUACAAAACAGGUGAGGUGGACUUUGACCCCAACUAUGAGAGUUUACUAGCGGAGCUCCACCUAGCAACCAGCGGUAGCAACGCACCUGGAGUGGAUCAGAUACAAUGAGAAACUAAUACUGGAGAAUUAUGCGGCCAUUUUUCAGCCCGGCCAAGUGUUGAGGAGACAAGAAGAGGCACUGAGAAUGGAGGUAGAGCUUUAGGCCUACUAUGCUGCUAAGAGAGGGGUCUCACGUAAACUGGCCACUCAGACGCUAACAGACCUCAGCAGUAUGGAAAAGGGUCUGUCAUCAGAGACUACAAACUGCCCAGCCCUUACAUGCAGCCCACCUCCAGUCUGGUGAGCAGCCUAUAAGCAGUGAGGGACAGUCUGAAGACAUGGGUCCAUGGACAGGGGCUACCGAGAAACCUCCAAGAGAUACUACACGUAGGAACAGAGCCGACCGACGUGGAGACGGUUACUAUCGCUACUGAAGAGGUGGUACCCAGUUCACAGUUUGAGAUAGAGAUAAGUCAGAGUGAUGAUGGGGAGAGUGUGGAGCAGCUACAGGCCAGUGACUUGGGCCCUAACUUUGGCCUUGUGCAUGAACCCAGG
Halichondria panicea is the source of this 860-nucleotide long non-coding RNA. RefSeq lists it as uncharacterized. The transcript has 5 exons. NCBI's taxonomy places the organism in Eukaryota, Metazoa, Porifera, Demospongiae, Suberitida, Halichondriidae. The record is from RefSeq and is a predicted model, not a curated record.